RNAcentral lists this long non-coding RNA (309 nucleotides) under Solanum tuberosum (potato). RNAcentral describes it as "long non-coding RNA (STUB_LNC003543)". Lineage: Eukaryota; Viridiplantae; Streptophyta; Magnoliopsida; Solanales; Solanaceae. The record is from RNAcentral.
UCGAAUGUAAUACUAAUAGUUGUAUAGUCCCGUAAAGCCUUUCUCUAACUCAGUUAUAGAUUGACCGUAAUCAACUACUGGUCUUGGUAAAGCUUGUUGACGAUCUUGAAGUUCCAUGCCAUCGUCUCUACCACAUCCAAUGACUGAAUCUAUGAAAAGUUCAUAUUGACUAUCUAACUUUGGAAGUCCUUGAUUUCUACGCUCAACAUUUAUCCAAUAUCUAAAAAGCACCGAUAUCUCCAAACUGUCUUCUGCUAACGAAUAUAUGUGGUCUCCAAUUUGAAAUCUUGCCGCGCUGAAAGCUGCCUC